This 888-nucleotide ribosomal RNA is filed under the name marine metagenome. Its description in RNAcentral is "bacterial SSU rRNA". It matches the Rfam family "Bacterial small subunit ribosomal RNA", at positions 81 to 1006 of the family's 1533-position model. The record is from RNAcentral.
AGUAGCAAUACUGAGUGGCAAACGGGUGAGUAUAAUGUGGGAAUCUGCCUUUUGGUUUGGAAUAACACGGGGAAACUUGUGCUAAUACCGAAUAAGCCCUUACGGGGAAAGUUUUAAUGCCGAAAGAUGAGCCUGCACUUGAUUAGCUAGUUGGUAAGGUAAAAGCUUACCAAGGCAACGAUCAAUAGCUGUUCUUAGAGGAAGACCAGCCACAUUGGGACUGAGACACGGCCCAGACUCCUACGGGAGGCAGCAGUGGGGAAUCUUGCACAAUGGGGGAAACCCUGAUGCAGCGAUGCCGCGUGAGUGAAGAAGGCCCUUGGGUUGUAAAACUCUUUCGUCGGGGAAGAAAAUGACUGUACCCGAAUAAGAAGGUCCGGCUAACUUCGUGCCAGCAGCCGCGGUAAUACGAAGGGACCUAGCGUAGUUCGGAAUUACUGGGCUUAAAGAGCUCGUAGGUGGUUAAAAAAGUUGAUGGUGAAAUCCCAAGGCUCAACCUUGGAACUGCCAUCAAAACUUUUUAGCUAGAGUGUGAUAGAGGUAAGUGGAAUUUCUAGUGUAGAGGUGAAAUUCGUAGAUAUUAGAAAGAACACCAAAUGCGAAGGCAACUUACUGGAUCACUACUGACACUGAGGAGCGAAAGCAUGGGUAGCGAAGAGGAUUAGAUACCCUCGUAGUCCAUGCCGUAAACGAUGUGUGCUAGACGUUGGAAAUAUAUUUUUCAGUGUCGCAGCGAAAGCAUUAAGCACACCGCCUGGGGAGUACGACCGCAAGGUUAAAACUCAAAUGAAUUGACGGGGACCCGCACAAGCAGUGGAGCAUGUGGUUUAAUUCGAAGAUACGCGCAGAACCUUACCAACACUUGACAUGUUCGUCGCGAGACUAAGA